AUUGAACGCUGGCGGCAGGCUUAACACAUGCAAGUCGAGCGGUAACAGAGAGAAGCUUGCUUCUCUGCUGACGAGCGGCGGACGGGUGAGUAAUGCCUAGGAAUCUGCCUAGUAGUGGGGGAUAACUUGCCGAAAGGUAAGCUAAUACCGCAUACGUCCUACGGGAGAAAGGAGGGGACCUUCGGGCCUUUCGCUAUUAGAUGAGCCUAGGUCGGAUUAGUUAGUUGGUGAGGUAAUGGCUCACCAAGACCGCGAUCCGUAACUGGUCUGAGAGGAUGAUCAGUCACACUGGAACUGAGGCACGGUCCAGACUCCUACGGGAGGCAGCAGUGGGGAAUAUUGGACAAUGGGGGGAACCCUGAUCCAGCCAUGCCGCGUGUGUGAAGAAGGUCUUAGGAUUGUAAAGCACUUUAAGUUGGGAGGAAGAGCAGUUAACUAAUAUUUGACUGUUUUGACGUUACCGACAGAAUAAGCACCGGCUAACUUCGUG
This 490-nucleotide ribosomal RNA is filed under the name uncultured bacterium. Its description in RNAcentral is "partial 16S ribosomal RNA". It matches the Rfam family "Bacterial small subunit ribosomal RNA", at positions 30 to 507 of the family's 1533-position model. The record is from RNAcentral.